RNAcentral lists this long non-coding RNA (10287 nucleotides) under Equus asinus (donkey). RNAcentral describes it as "lncRNA (ENSEASG00005033970.1)". The record is from RNAcentral. Lineage: Eukaryota; Metazoa; Chordata; Mammalia; Perissodactyla; Equidae.
GAACUGGCCGCCAGGUUAGGGGAGGGGGGUGGAGUUUCUCACAUUUCAGUCGCCUUGAGGCCCCCCCAUUCUGAAUCCGGGGCUGGGGUUAGUAGCCAAGGGGACAGACAAGGCUCCACCCUCAGCCCACUUUCUCUGAGCUUUCUAGGUCUUGCUUCUCACCACUCCUGGUAGUAUUUCCACCCCAGGUUUUAACUACUAGCACUUCCAUAAAAACAGCUGAAACCACUCUUUUGGGAGAACGCGCCCGUGAGGCCUCUCACCCCAACUAAACUGGUUCCCUGCUUCGUCCACACCUCCUGGGGAUGUGAUGCACCCCCUCAUCCUUGUCAACUCAGCCCCCGCGUCUCCGAGGGGUGUUCCUGUGCUGGCUUCAAAAACCAGCUGGCCACAUGGCGGGAGGGAGAUUUUCUGGCCCCGGGAGGUCUUCUGAACCUGGGAUUUGAGGCAUGCAUGAAACGACACCCGCCACUCGAACAUCACUAGAAGACGUCUGCUCUCCGUUUUGCCAGCGAAUUCCACCACUCCAGACUGACACCGGGGAGAAGAGGCGCGAAAUGGGGAGGGGAAACGCCCUAGGCAAUUUCUCAAACUCUGCAAAUCCGCCCAGGGAGGCCCGGGUGUCUGGGUAUGGGAGAAGGGGGUCUAGGGGUCUCUGCAGAUCUGAGGGAGGGGGUAAUGACUAGUUAUUACUAGUUUAGGAAGGGAGCGGCUGCUGCACUAGCGCCCCCGCGCCGGGCCUCGGGCCCCAAAUCCCGCGAGUGGUCGCCCAGCUCGGGCCCCGCCACCCAGCGCGCGCUGCGCCGCACCCUGCCCUGGGCAAGGGGCAGCGACCGGGAACCCGGGCCUGGUCGCGGCGCCGGGAGCUCGGACACGCCCGGCGUUUUCGAUCUCGAUGCUCAAGCAGGGCCCCAUCACCGCUGCAGCGUCUUGGGACCUCCCGUCCGCAUCCCCGGGACUGGGUGUCGUUAAAGGAAACGCCUAGGAGGAGAACUAGGAGGGAGCAGUAGGUAAACGUCCGGGUUCGACCGGCUGGAUGGUGCGAGAGAGCAACAAGUCGCUUGGAAAGUGGGUAAGAGGCUCCACUGCGAGCUGCUUCCUGCCUGCGGCGGAGCGGGACGUGCGCGCAGAGAACUCAGAGACAGGAACUGAGAAGGCUAAAGAGAGACUAACUCGGUCCCUUGGGCAAGGAGAUAAAAGGAAGGUCCGGUACCCAAAAGGGACGUGCUCCAGUUUUUCAGCCUCUCAGUUUCUUCCACUUAUAAACCAGCCGGCGCCUCAAGGAGGGGAGGAGCUCAGCGGGUCCGCCUCACCGCCAUGCAUGUCUCUCUCCCUGGAAUCUUGGCCGCUCAGCACCUGGACUGUCCGGGGAGCUCUUUGUUGCCUUCAGGCAGAUCGGUGAGCGAACUGUGGCAGAGCUGAGGUUACCUAAGUAAGCGGUAGAGCUGGGAGUUCUCCAUGCCCGCCACUCUAUACAGAGUCGAGUGCUCAAUUUGCCACUGGAGAAGGAGACCCUGGAGAAUGCCUGGCAUUUAGACUGUGCCUCUCAUGGGUUACCCUCAAGAGAGGCACUAGUCAGGCUCACUUGCAUGAUGGUGGCCAAAGGGCCUUAACUUGAAACCUGGGAAAGACCGGACAGAACUAGGACCAGGAGGGAGAGGUGAAAACCGGCACCCAGGUGUGGUGGGCACCUGAAUGCCCGAAGCCCUCCCGCUGAGAAGGUGGGGUAGUUCCUGUGUCUCUUAAGGCAAGUGUUGAACCUGAACCUGCUGGACCAGGUACAGGAUGGCAGGUCUUAGAGACGAAGCACGGAAAAUGAUGGGGUCUCCCUUUAAGAGGAGGAAGGAAGAGUCUUAACAGAGGCAGCCAUGGAACUCGGGUUUCAGUGACAGUCAGGGCGUUCUUUGGGUCAAAAUUUUAGUGUGAGUAAGACAGGUCACCUUCGAUCAUGUCUCUGUUCAGCCAACAACUGACUGAGUGGCUUCAAUAAUAUUCCUUUGCAUGGACACACCACAGUUGAUUUAAUCAUUCUCCUAUUAAUGGACAUCUUGGAUUAUUUCUUGUUUGGAGCUAUUAUAAAUAAAGCUGCUAAGAGCAUUCUUGCACGUGUUUUUGUUUUUAUUUACAGUAAAUACAGGAGUGGAAUUGCUGGUCAUAAGGUAGGUUGGUGUAUAGUUUUUUUAAAGUGUUUUUUAUUGUGGUAAAAUAUACAUAAAAUAAAAUUUACUACUUUAACCAUUUUAAGUGUACAAUUCAGUGGCAUUAGGUACAUUUACAUUAUUGUGCAACCAUCACUGCUACCCAUCUCUAGAACUUUUUCAUCACCCCAAACUGAAAAUCUGUACCCAUUAAACACUAACUCCCAACCCCCUCCCCCAGACCCAGAUAACCACUAUUCUACUUUCUGUCUCUACAGAUUUGACUAUUCUAGCUGCCUCAUAUAAGUGGACUCAUACAAUAUUUGUCCUCUUGUGUCUGGCUUAUUUAAGUUAGCAUAAAGUUUUCAAGGUUUAUCCGUGUUAUAGCAUGUGUCAAAAUCUCGUUCCUUUUUAAGGUUGAAUGAUAUUCCAUUGUAUGUACAUACCACAUUUUGUUCAUUCAUCAGUCAGUGGACACUUAGGUUGCUUAUGUCUUUUGGCUCUUAUGAAUAGUGCUGCUGUGAACGUGGGUGUACAAAUACCUGUUCAAGUUCUAGCUCAGCGGUUCCCAAGCUUUCAUGUCUAAGAAUUGUUGCUUUAUAAGUGAAAUAAAGAAUUUUCUAAUUUGACUUGAACUAUAUGCAACUUUUGCCUUACUAACUUUAGGACCAGUCCCUAGCCCCUAACACCGCCAUACACUGCAACCCCACUGGACUCAACGGGGGCAGAAUUCUUUAAGAAGAAAAACUUAGUGGGAAAAGCACAGGCCUUGAUGCCAGUCGUGCACAAGGUAUUGAUAUUCUGGUGCCACUACUUACCAGCUCUAGACCCUUGGGGGCGCCAGUUAAUACUCUGAGCUUUAGUUUCUGUUUGCUAAUCUGUAAAUGGAGAUUAAAUAAGAAAGCGUGUGGCGAUUAGCAGAGUGGGCCACAGAAUCAUUCAGUAAGUGGUAACCAGAGAGGGUGUUAUUGCUGUUGUUGCAAUUAGUUAGGCUCCUCAGACCUCACACCGCACUCGGAUCCCGGGCAGAAAUUGUUUCUUCGCUGAUUACUUGAAGGGGGCACUGGCGAAGGGAAGCAGUGGUCAGUAGCGGCAGGUCCAAAUGGCGACAGUUUCUCAACAGUUUCCACUGAGUUCCCGGAGAAGGGAGUAUGGGAUUGAGAGUCUAAGAGUGCUGGGGCCCAAAAAGGGAGACAAGAGCAAAUGCUGGUGAGGCUGCGGAGAAAGCAGAACCCUCACACGCUGUUCAUGGGAAUGUAAAAUGGUGCAGCCACUUUGGGAAACAGUCGAGCAGUUUUUCGAAAUGUUAAACACCAAAUCUAGCAAAUGAAAGAUAUAAAUAUAAAAUAAAUAAAUACAGUAAAUAUACUAAAACACCGGAAAAGGACCUCUCAAUACACUUGAAACUGAACCUGCAAGGAAUGACUAAAAGAGGGCAAAAUUAGACUGAAGAAGGAAACCUCAGCCCAUGGUGCGUAGGGGAGCCAAGAGGAGAUUCUCUCAGGCUACUGGGAGCAGCCAUAUGGAUGAUUCAGACCCAAGAGGGAUGAAGAUGUGGGAGGAAAUCCAGGGGCCACUGCUAGGGUAAUUUGUUGGGACACUGAAGCAGGAGCAAGCAGCAUAGUGACUCCCACGCACCCCUGUCAUAGUCUGUGAUGGGAGGUGUUUUCUAGGUGGGAGAGAGCAAUGGAUGAGAGAGUUUAGAACAGAGAGACAGCGCAGUACCUGAGGUGGCUGGGAUACCCCAGGAGAAAGUGGGAGUGCCUAAGCCCAGAAGACCAGCUGCUGAGAUGCCUUACCUGGUGGCAGAUCUUGCCUCUCCCCUGCUCUCAAUAGCACCCAGUGAGAUUCUUGCCUCUUCCCCCCAGUGGGCUGUGCAAACAGAGACAGCCAAUGGUCUAACGGAGAAUGUCAGCCAUAAAAAUGACUUGCACAAGGAUCACUAAACAUUUGAGAAAAGUCAGUAUCAUGAAAGAGAGACAAGCUAGAACCUUUCCCAGACUCCCUUGAGGUUAGGUGAGACGACUGACUGAGUUUCAGCCAGUGGAAUGUGAACAGAAGUGUGCACACCACUUUUAGCUAGGUCUGGCCUCCACUCUCUCUUUUCCUCUUUCUGCCAGCUGGAUUUCAAUGCCCAGCAUGAUACUGGAAGUUACAUAAUGAGGGAAACAAGAUCCUGUGUCAAGUUCUGUGAAAUCAUGUCCCUAAAUUUGCACUUUGUAAAAAUGAGAAGUGAACUUCCAUUGUAUUAAACCACUGAGUUUGGAGUGGGGUGGGGUUUUUUUCCUGUUACAUCAGCUAAUAUUACCUUCCCUGAUAAACAGUUUACAUUUUAAAACAGUUUCCUUGAAGAAAUAAGGGAGUGUAUCACAUCCAUGAAAUGAAGAAAGCCAGUUGUAGAAGGGAACCAAUUAAACACUUUGUAAAUAAAAAUAUGAAACCAUUGAAAUUUAAAACUCAGUAGAUGAGCUGAAUAGUAGAAUACAUCAACUAAACAGAAAAAGAGUAAAAUGGAAGACCAGGCAGAAGAAUAUUCCCAGAAUGCAGAACAAAGGAAGAUGGGGGAUAAGAAAGUUAAAUGACAUGCAGAGAAGAUCAAAAAAUUGUAACAUUCAUUGAAAAAAAUUCUGGAAGUUGAUAAUAGAGAGAAUAGAUGAGAAACAACUUUUUUUCUUUUUGAGGAAGAUUAGCCCUGAGCUAACUACUGCCAGUCCCUCUCUUUUUGCUGAGGAAGCCUGGCCCUGAGCUAACAUCCGUGCCCAUCUUCCUCUACUUUAUAUGUGGGACACCUACCACAGCAUGGUGUGCCAAGCAGUGCCAUGUCCGCACCCGAGAUUCGAACUGGCGAACCCCGGGCCACCAAGAAGCGGAACGUGCGCACUUAACCACUGUGCCACCGGGCUGGCCCCACAAUUUUUUUUUUUAAAGUCAAGAAUUUUCCAGAUCUGACGAAAGAUAGACACACACACAUAUACACGAAUACACAAAUGAUUCCAGAAAAAAGUAUGGAAUACAAGAAGCAAUAGCAAGUUAAUACAUUAGGAAAACGUAUUAAGACAUCUAAGUAUUGCCUGUAUAAAAUUUUAAAAUAAUAAUCUAAAAAAUAUCAACACAGAAGUUGUCAAUAGGGAAUUCCAGAAGGAAAUUAAAGCUUGCCCAAAUUCCUUUGUUCUUGCCUUGUUCUAGGGGUGGAUAUCGAUGCUGAUUAACUAUACACAUUAUUAGAAAUCUACAAGUUUAAAUAUGUAUGUAUUUAAAGAAUAACCACUAGACACAUAGGAAUAGAAUGUAGAAGGGGAAAUGGAUCAAAGAAAACUUAAUCAAAAGCCAGGUGUAGUGGGCAUGGUUGACUACCUCCCAAGCAUCGUUUCCCAGCUCCAGGCAGGAGCCAGAGUUUCCUGUGAGUAUCCCAGCCCCCACUCAUGGCCACUGACCUUGGGAAAGCCGACUCCAUCUCUGGCUUCAGGUACAAAUCUUAAUUUGACUAAAUCAAUCAGAGUAUCCCACUCCCUUUGCCCCAGUAAUUGUUUUGGGUGUGGGCAUGUGAGCCUCAUAUUGCCAGGAAACACACCUGGUUCUCACCUGGGGGUACUUUUGCCCCCUAGGGACAUUUAGCAAUGUCUGGAGACACUUUUGGUUGUCCCAGCUGAGGGAAAGCUACCGGCAUCUAGUGGAGAGAAGCCAUGGAUAUGCUAAACAUCCUACAAUGCAAAGGACAGCCCCCCCACAACAAUUAUCCAGCCCAAAACGUCAAUGGUGGCAAGUUUGAGAACCUCUGGUCUAAAGGAAAAGCUGUGGGCAGUAUACAUGCCUUGAUCCCUCAGGGAACCAGCCUUGAGGUGAAGCUGAUGCUGCAGAUGGCAGAUCUGAAGGAUGGAAAGAACCAGGGUCCAUGAUGACACUACUGGGACACAGGCUCAUUCUCCCUCUGGGUAUACAGUUACAUGACCUUUUAACUUUAACUUUCUCUUGGCUAAGCCACUGUUUAACUGGGGUCUCUGUUACUUGUAGCCAUGAGCAUCGUGAUAAACUAGGAAAGAGAGAAAGAGAAACAAAAGAAAAAACAAGAAGGCGUAUGUGGUAGACAGUGUCCCACUCUCCCAUCCACUCCCCCUACCAAAGACCCCCAUGUGCUAAUCCCCAGAAUCUGACAGUUUGUCACCUUACAUGAUGAAAAGGACUUUUGCAGAUGUGAUUACAUUAAGGAGUUUGAGAUGGAGAGAUUAUCCUGGAUUAUCUGAGUGGGUCCAAUGUUCUCACAAAGGCUUUUAUGAGGAAAAGAGGGAGGCAGGAGAGUCACAGAGAGAGGAGAGCAGAGGUGGGAGUGAUGCUCUUCAGCAAUGGAGGAAGGGGCCCUGAGCCAAGGAAUGCAGGUGACUUCUAGAAGCUGGGAAGGGCAAGGAUAUAGGUUCUCUCCUAGAGCCCCAGAAAAAAUGCAGCUCUGACAAUAGUUGAAUUUAGCCCGUAAGACCCAUUCAGACUUCUGACCUCUAGAACUAUAAGAGAAUAAAGGUGUGUCAUUUUAAGACAUUAAGUUUGUAAUAAUUUGUAAGAGCAGCAAUGGGAAACAAAGACAGCAUGGCAAUUAGAAAACCCAAAACAAGAUGUCAGGAGUAAGUACAAACAUACCAAUAAUCACACAAAUAUGAAAGAGUUGAAUCCACCUGUUAAGUAAUGGAGGCUCUCGGAUUCUAUAUUUUUAAACUCCUGCUAUGUGCUAUUCAUGAGCAGUAUACCUAAAAGAAAAUGACAGAAAACGACACAAAUAACUUGGUGUCUCAGUUAUCUACUGCAGUCUAACCACCACCCCCAAAAUUUAAUGACUUGAAAUAACGACCAUUUUAUUUGCUCUGUGGGUCAGUAAUUUGACCUGUGCUCAGCUAGGCAGGUCCUCUGCUGGUCUCCUCUGGGAUCACUCAUGCAGCUGCCAUCAUCCAGCAGCUCAAGUCAGGCUGGAGGGUCGAAAAUGGUGUCACACAGAUGGGGCUGCCUGUUGGCCAACCCCACUCUCCACUCAGCCUCUCACCCUCAAGGAGGCCAGCCCAGGCUUCUGCGUGUGGUGGCAGUGGCAUUCAGGUGAUGAGCGCAGCUGCUGCGAGACCUAGCGAGGACUCCACUCAGAUGUCCCAAAGCAUCAGUUCUGCGGCCUUCUAUAUUCAAAGCAGGUCACAAUGGCAACCAUGAAUCAAACGUGGGGAAACAGACUCCACCUUAGAUGGGAAGAAUGGCAAAGUCACAUUGCAAGAGGUAUGGUUUCGAGAAGGGAAGGAGUUAUUCUGGCAUCUUUUCAAUCAACUUACCAUGCCUGGAAAAUACACAAACACACAAAAGCAGGUAUAGCAAUAUCAGUAUCAGACAAAGGUGACAAGAAACUAAGAGGAAGUAUUUCAUAUUGAUAAAAGAAACACUACAACAAGAAAAUAAAAUAGUCAUGAGCCUUUUUACAUCUAACAACAUAGACUCAAAUAUGUAAAGCAAAAUCUGCUCAAAGCAUAAGGAGAAACUGACCAAAAAUUACAAUGGGAGACUUUAACAUGCUUCUCUCAGAAACUAAAAUAUUAAGCAAUUAAAAAAAUAAGGAUAAUGAUUAUUAGGGUAACCUAACAGGUUGAUCUAAUAGAAACAUUUAGAAAUGUAUUCUCAGCGGAGAAUACACAUUCACAAAAAAUGACCAUAGGCUCAGCUGUGAAGGAAAUCUUAACACAUCCUCCCACCCCAAAAUAAUACACAGACCAUCUUCACUCACCACAAUGCAAUAAAAUUAGAAGUGAAAAACAAAUGAUGGCCUAAAAAAACCGAAAAAACAAAAAAUAAAUCAACUAUGUAUUUAGAAAUUUUAAAACAGACUUGUAAAUAACUCCAGUUAAAAAGAUAGCAGGCCCAGAACCCAGAUUUCCAAAUAACCAAUACAGAUCAUGAUCUAGCCCUUUUAUUCACAUAAAGCUAUUUAUUCUUAAGUAUUUACUGAAUUAUGUGAAAAGGUGGGAAAGUGGGAGAGGCAGAGAGAGGCCAAGGUGGGCUGGAAAACGGAUUGGCCGGAGCAACUAGUUCUGUCCAUUGAGAGCCUAAAGGGAUGUGACAGUUAUCACCAGCCAGGUUCAGCAAAGCUUAGGAGCAUCUACUGGACUCAGUGGCCUGGGCGGCCACACACCAUGCAGGGGAGCCAGAGCAAUGCCCCAGCAAGUGGGACAGGCUCUGAUGAGCUCUGAUCCCAGGCAGAUGCUGUUUGCUUCUGAUUCCGCAGUGCAAAUCAGCUCCUGUGUACAGUGGGGAAGGGUGGCUACUUCGAGCAGGUAAGAUCCAAAAUCUAGAAGGAGCCCACAGGUCAAUACCCAGAAGGAUUCUGGAUGGCUGUGACUACAUGAUGCCAGACCACCCAGAGAAAAUGGGAACUGUCAGUUUUCUGAACAUUGGAGUCAAAUGGUGCCCAACAUCCAAGCUAGGCAGGCAGCUUACCAAUGGAAUAGACAUGGUGUUUUCUCCACACAGCACAAACCAGAGAGAACAGAUUAUUUAGCCUGUGUUUAGGAUUCAUCUGGAUAAUUCAGAUCCCAAACAUUCUACUUGUGGCCUCAAUUAUUCAUGUUGACUAUAUAGAUUAAAAUACAAGGUAACUAUCAUUGUUUCCUUUUUAGUAGUAACAGAACAUCUGUUAGGAUGAAAUCAUUUUUUUCCUAUUGGUGUGAAUUCAUUCAUGCCUAAUCCACCCACCCAGUCAUCCAUCCAUCCGUUUAACAAACAUCCAAAGCAAACCUAACACAUCAUAGAUCCUUGGUGUUUAUGUGUCACUGUUUACAUCUCCUCUGAUUACUUGUAGAUGAGAAAGAUAAAGAAUAUGGUUUGAGUUAUUUUGGUGCCAAACAAUAUUCUAGAAAGAAAUGCUCAGCAAACAAGUUCUACAUAAAUAACUAAAAAGAAAAAGGAGGGAGAAAGGGAAAAAAAAGGGGGUGGAGGUGGAGAAGGAACAUGAGGGUUCCAGCGGAGGUGGGUGGGAAUUUUUUUUCCUUUCUGACUGGGUUUUGAUUUGCAUAGGGGAGUCUCUGUGUCUGAAGGUGCUGAGAAAACCAGCCCACUCUAGGCAGCAGGGAGGGGGCAAGACGGCCGGGAGGCAGGAGCCGCAAGGGAGAGUUCUGACUUUCUUACACCCUAUACCCUGUCUGGAUUCUGGUGUCAGAGCCUGAGCUAUUUUCCUUCUCCCCCACCUUCCACCUCCCCACUCCACCCUCCUCCAACACACACCCCCAAUUUUCCUAAGAAUUCUGAGUCCGGAAGAAAGAAAGAGAAAAGCAGGUGUCCAAUUGUCCUUGCCCCUCCUCCGCAUCCCCACCCACACACAGAGGUACCAAGUCUCCCCAGCGCCCCUGAGGAUGACUGGGUGAGAGCCUGCCACACCGGGCUGUAAUAUUAGCACAGGUUUGCCCGCCCUCCCCACCCCCAGACCCCGAGAUUCCUGAGGGCUAGGACACCGAGUGUCCAAUUCUUCAUCUGUAAAACUCCGCAUAUGAUUGUCACGUGACUUGAGCAUGUCCCUAAGACUUGGAGUGUGCUCAGAACAGUGCCGGGCUCUUGACGUGCUCUACCUCCUCGGGCGAACGUAGCGGAGGAGACAGCGCCCUCCAGCCCGGGUCCUGCGGGUCCCUAUCGUGCGCCGGGGGCUCGAGAGCAUCGCGCCCGCAGGCGCUCCUCCCAUCCUUUCCCGGACGGCUUCCCUCCCCCAGCCAAAGGCAGCGCCCAGCGAGCGGCACUAAGUAAAUCUGGGGACUCUGGCCUGACCUCCGUCCUCGCGAGAGACAAGAAACUAACAUGAUGUUGGGCCUGUGGUGGCCGCUGUGCAACCCGGAGAGGGCUGUGUAGGCAUUCCCAUUUUCCAGAUGAGAAAGUGAGGCUUCAAUCCAGUGCUAGCGCCCCUGUAUAAGGCGCUCGGAUUUCCAAACCCGCCUCCUCCCCAUUACAGUAUUUCUUUCGGCCUCCCUGGGGCCCAAGAGGAAAGUCUGGGGACAAGGGACCAGGAAGGUUCUAGAUCGUAUGUCUUCUGCCUGUAUCAGGCUCCCAGCCCCGCGCGGGUGUGCGGGGAGCCCAGGAUGUGCGGCCCAGGCCAAGCCGGUGCCUGCAGGGACGCAGGGGAGGCGCGUGGCGGUGUCCCCCUAUC